CAGCGGUGCUUUAUAUCCACCUAGAGGAGCCUGUUCCAUAACCGAUGAUCCCCGAUUUACCUCACCACUCCUUGCUAAUUCAGCCUAUAUACCGCCAUCUUCAGUUAACCCUAAAAAGGAAAUAAAGUAAGCCUAAUCAGUAUUACUAAAGAAGUUAGGUCAAGGUGUAGCCCAUGGAGUGGAGCGAAAUGGGCUACAUUUUCUAUUACUAGAACAUUACGAAACUCUACGUGAAAUCCGUAGAAUAAAGGAGGAUUUAGUAGUAAAUUAAAACUAGAGUGUUUAAUUGAAUAGAGCAAUGAAGCACGCACACACCGCCCGUCACCCUCCUCAAUUUCUCAACAAUUAAAAGUACAUAACACCUAAUUACAAAAGAUUGAGAGGAGACAAGUCGUAACAAGGUAAGUGUACUGGAAAGUGCACUUGGAAAAAUCAAAAU
This 439-nucleotide non-coding RNA is filed under the name Dipodomys ordii (Ord's kangaroo rat). RNAcentral's name for it is "Bacterial small subunit ribosomal RNA". It matches the Rfam family "Bacterial small subunit ribosomal RNA", at positions 903 to 1533 of the family's 1533-position model. The record is from Rfam by way of RNAcentral. Lineage: Eukaryota; Metazoa; Chordata; Mammalia; Rodentia; Heteromyidae.